GUAAAAGCGAUGAUCGGGAGCAAGUAGGUGCGGCGCGCCCCUUUCAGAGAGUUUCCGGCCGGUGCGAGGAAACGGGGGAACCGCGCGGAAUUCGUCCCGUACGCUGCGCGCUGAAUGCCUUUGGGCAAGUAGGCUGCCGCCGGUCUCCGUCCGUUAUCGCGGCAGGGCAGUUCUGCCCGCUGAGGUUGCCGCCGCAAGACGGCGACAAACCGAGGUGGUACCACGGGUAUCUGGCGCCCGUCCUCUGA
This 248-nucleotide non-coding RNA is filed under the name Papillibacter cinnamivorans. RNAcentral describes it as "T-box sequence". It matches the Rfam family "T-box leader". Rfam says of the family: Uncharged tRNA acts as the effector for transcription antitermination of genes in the T-box leader family. T-boxes are found upstream of many aminoacyl-tRNA synthetase genes and some amino acid biosynthetic genes usually in Gram-positive bacteria. The record is from RNAcentral. Lineage: Bacteria; Bacillati; Bacillota; Clostridia; Eubacteriales; Oscillospiraceae.